Molecule: ribosomal RNA, 497 nt
Filed under: uncultured bacterium
Lineage: Bacteria
Description: partial 16S ribosomal RNA
Rfam family: Bacterial small subunit ribosomal RNA
Source: RNAcentral
GAUGAACGCUGGCGGCGUGCCUAAUACAUGCAAGUCGAGCGAACAGACGAGGAGCUUGCUCCUCUGACGUUAGCGGCGGACGGGUGAGUAACACGUGGAUAACCUACCUAUAAGACUGGGAUAACUUCGGGAAACCGGAGCUAAUACCGGAUAACAUGUUGAACCGCAUGGUUCAACAGUGAAAGACGGUCUUGCUGUCACUUAUAGAUGGAUCCGCGCCGCAUUAGCUAGUUGGUAAGGUAACGGCUUACCAAGGCAACGAAGCGUAGCCGACCUGAGAGGGUGAUCGGCCACACUGGAACUGAGACACGGUCCAGACUCCUACGGGAGGCAGCAGUAGGGAAUCUUCCGCAAUGGGCGAAAGCCUGACGGAGCAACGCCGCGUGAGUGAAGAAGGUCUUCGGAUCGUAAAACUCUGUUAUUAGGGAAGAACAAAUGUGUAAGUAACUAUGCACGUCUUGACGGUACCUAAUCAGAAAGCCACGGCUAACUACGUG